RNAcentral lists this long non-coding RNA (391 nucleotides) under Hordeum vulgare. Its description in RNAcentral is "long non-coding RNA (HVUL_LNC012191)". Lineage: Eukaryota; Viridiplantae; Streptophyta; Magnoliopsida; Poales; Poaceae. The record is from RNAcentral.
GGGAAAUAGAAGAAAAAGAAAGAAUAAAAGCAGAAGAAUGCACUUCUUCUUUCCUUUUUCUUACUAUUUUACUUUUCUUUCUUCUUCUGUUUCUUCUUCUUCCUCCUCUUCUUCUAGUCUUCUUCUUCUUCUUCUAGUCUUCUUCUUCUUCUUCCAGACUUCUUAUUAUUCUUCAUCUAGUCUUCUUCUUCUUCUUCUACUCGUUCUUCAUUUUCUUCAUCACUUCAUCAUCAUAUUCUUCUUCUUCUUCUUCCUCUAAUCUUCUUCUUCUUCUUGUAGUCUUCUUCUUCUUCUAGUCUUCAUCUUCUUCAUCACAUGUUCUUCUUCUUCUUCUUCUUCUUCUUCUUCUUCUUCUUCUUCUUCUUCUUCUUCUAGUCUUCUUCUUCUUCUU